CAGCAGCAGCCGCGGUAAUACGUAGGUGGCAAGCGUUGUCCGGAAUUAUUGGGCGUAAAGGGCUCGCAGGCGGUUUCUUAAGUCUGAUGUGAAAGCCCCCGGCUCAACCGGGGAGGGUCAUUGGAAACUGGGAAACUUGAGUGCAGAAGAGGAGAGUGGAAUUCCACGUGUAGCGGUGAAAUGCGUAGAGAUGUGGAGGAACACCAGUGGCGAAGGCGACUCUCUGGUUUGUAACUGACGCUGAGGAGCGAAAGCGUGGGGAGCGAACAGGAUUAGAUACCCCCGUAGUCCCUGUCUCUUAUAC
This 304-nucleotide ribosomal RNA is filed under the name uncultured bacterium. RNAcentral's name for it is "partial 16S ribosomal RNA". It matches the Rfam family "Bacterial small subunit ribosomal RNA", at positions 506 to 807 of the family's 1533-position model. The record is from RNAcentral.